UACGGAGGGCGCAAGCGUUGUUCGGAAUUACUGGGCGUAAAGCGCGUGUAGGCGGCCAGGUAAGUCGGAUGUGAAAGCCCGGGGCCCAACCCCGGAACUGCACCCGAUACUGCCCGGCUGGAGUCCCGGAGAGGAUGGCGGAAUUUCCGGUGUAGAGGUGAAAUUCGUAGAGAUCGGAAGGAACGCCCGUGGCGAAAGCGAGGUCCUGGACCCUUUCUGACGCUGAGACGCGAAAGCCAGGGGAGCAAACAGG
Molecule: ribosomal RNA, 253 nt
Filed under: uncultured bacterium
Lineage: Bacteria
Description: partial 16S ribosomal RNA
Rfam family: Bacterial small subunit ribosomal RNA
Source: RNAcentral